CGCACAUUGCGCCCACCAGUAUUCUGAUGGGCAUGCCUGUUCGAGCGUCAUUUCAAACCCUUAAGCUCUGCCGCUUAGCGUUGGGGACCGCUAUAAAAAGCGCCCUCUAAAAAAAUUGGCGGAGUUGUUUAGGGCUCUCAGCGUAGUAAUUCUCUCGCUUUAGGGACCUGGCAGCGCCUGCCACAAGCCUAUUUUCUCAAGGUUUGACCUCGGAUCAGGUAGGAAUACCCGCUGAACUUAA
Molecule: unclassified non-coding RNA, 241 nt
Filed under: Lopadostoma polynesium
Lineage: Eukaryota; Fungi; Ascomycota; Sordariomycetes; Xylariales; Xylariaceae
Description: partial contains 5.8S ribosomal RNA, internal transcribed spacer 2, and large subunit ribosomal RNA
Source: RNAcentral